Molecule: non-coding RNA, 698 nt
Organism: Pelobates cultripes (western spadefoot toad)
Lineage: Eukaryota; Metazoa; Chordata; Amphibia; Anura; Pelobatidae
Source: the annotation of a GenBank genome assembly
GUCCUUAAGGAUAAACAGAAUCAGGGUAAGCUGUUUCUCUCUUCACCUCUGGCCGGUCAAGAGGUAGAAGGAUGUGGAAAUGCUGGGAUUGAAGUCUGUGCUUUCGCGUGCGUUCCACUUACUGCCCGAUCUGCGUUCCAUUAAGUCUCGGUAGGGGUGCGUACAUGCGGCUCCUGCCGUAAAAUGCCUUACGCGUUUCAUGACUGAAUAGUGUCACUUCAUCAGAGGCUUGUAAUAUGUGUGUACUGGGGUUACAUUGUGUGUUUAUCAAGGAGCUGUAGUGUUUAGAGGAACAUAUAGUAUGAUAUGAAGAAAAUUUAGUAAGAGCAAAGUCAGUUGAGGUGUGCUGAAACUGACGUGAAGUUAGACCUGUAAAAGAGGGCCCACCUAGGUGAUAUGAGAAUAAUAAAGGGUGCGGUGGGAGGGGAACAUCCGAGAUCGAUGACGACAGGUAAACAGGGGCUCACUGGGUUUAAAUAGGAAUAAUAGUCCCUCCCACAAUUACAGGCCAAGCCUUCCAUUUGUGUACGGCACAUUUAGAGAAACGUAUAGUAUACUAUGAAGAAAAUUUAGUAAGAGCAAAGUCAGUGGAGGUGUGCCGAAACUGACGUGAGGUUAGACCUGUAAAAGAGGGAAAAAAUAUAAGAAACGAUUCUUUGUCCAACAUAUUUAUUAAAGCAAUACAUUAUUUAGAAAUU